RNAcentral lists this long non-coding RNA (902 nucleotides) under Brassica napus (rape). RNAcentral's name for it is "long non-coding RNA (BNAP_LNC006513)". Lineage: Eukaryota; Viridiplantae; Streptophyta; Magnoliopsida; Brassicales; Brassicaceae. The record is from RNAcentral.
UGCAACUAGAUUACAAUUUUUUUUAACACUAAACAAUAUUAUAUUGAUCAAGGUAUUUUACAAAGGAGAAACAUGGACCAUACAACAAAGUCGGACAAAAUAAAGGAUUCUCCGGAGACAUAUCCCUCGACUAGGAAACAUUUUAAAACCAAUUUAAGAUAACAUACAUGGUGAUUAAAAGCUAAAGCAAGAUUAAAAACUAACAAAAACGAAGAGGAAGAAAGCUCCAAAGAGAAAAACACCGACACUCCAAACGCAUCUUUGAUGAAGAACUUGAAACCUCCCAUAGUGAAUAAGCAUAGCAGUUUAACCAAAGAAACCUAAGCUUUAAACCGGAGAACAAAACACAUUGUUAUUACUUUUAUCCGGAAACGGCGGAGUCAAACUCAACUGAGGAGCGACAUGCAAACGCCAAGGAAGAAGCUUGUGAGAUCGGACCUCUGAAGAGAAGACAUGGAGCGUAUCACCACCAUCCAUUCAAACAUCAGCCUUGAGAAUCAAAACGGAUGAAGGAUCGAAACGAAAGGAAGUCAAAGAGACCAGCAAAGGAGAGGAGGUGCAUGCAGCUUGAAGAUAAAACCACCACCCGUUGAUCUUGCAGAUCUAAAACCUCAAAACAAGCUAGUCCGAAACAGAUCAAGAGAAGAUCUGAAAUUCAGUUUAUCACCACCAAAAUCUACAUGCAAUAACCGAUGAAAAACAAGAAAGAAACUAAAUAUAAAUGAUCAAACCCGACUCCGGCUUUGUGGAAGCAGCCGGAGCCGGUGAACAGAGAAGAAGAUCUAAAGAACUAUAGAGAGACGGGAGAGUUUUGAGAGAGGAUCAGAGUUGAGAUUAAUUACAAAUUUUUCUAGUUUCUAUUUUUUUUUACCACUUGAAUGGAAUAAAAAGCAAAGUUCAUU